UGUGGUGCCUAAUGGUAAAAAGUUAGUCAAUGAGAAAAGAAGACAGUGAAUUAAGAGACUUAUUGCUACCGACGAGUAUGCUGUAUCCAGCAGGUUCGUGCGAAUAAAAAAAAGCUGCAUCAAUUUGUUUCCACGAGAGCAUUGGCCUUUCGAGCAUCAUCGUGACACUGGCAUGCUAGUGCCAAAUUCUUAAAUCAAAUAGUGAAUCAAGGUAGUUAGCUAAUGUUUGGCAGGGACGAAGAAAAACACCAGACAGCUUGGCAUUGUUACGUUGUAUCGGCAUUUUCUAAUAGCAAUGAGUUACGUUCGAAGACAAACAUUCGCUGUUUCUUAUAAUAAUAACGCGAAUAAGAAACGAAAUGUCACCAGUGACGAAUAUAGGGGAAGGAUGAUCUUCGUCAACGGAAAAUCGUCGAGUUCACUUUGCUUGGCUCUCAAAAAAGAUCUACCUCAUGAGACGCUGUUACGUUUCGCUCACGAGCUCAAGUACAAAUUUAUAUCAAGGAGAUGUUUCGAUAUGCGUGAUUCGAAUAUCUUUCUCACCAAAUCGGAUAAACAACUGUUCGAGAAAUCUAAUUAAUUCUGUAGGGUGAGUCAGUAAUGAUGAUAAAUACAGUCGUCAAGAAAACUAUUCUGAUACAAAGUUAUUCUCUUCCGGAACAACUUCCUACUGAUUUUACUCGUUUUAACGAUUAAAAUUUUAACGAUUCGACGAUUAGCCAAAUUCCCAUAAAUAAAUUUUCAAAUUUGACCUUAUCGAAAACAGAGCGCUGUAUGAGAAUAUUCUUUCUUCCUUUUCUUCUUUUGUUUUUGUCUUAUUUUUCACGUAGAAUCAUCCCUUUACCGUCUGUACCACGAUUAUUGAAUCACCCUGUAUAUCCGAUAUGUAAGCGCAUAUACUAACAAGAGAUUUUAAUUGCCAUAUCCUAGGCAUCGCAUUACUAAUAUGUAAAUCGACGCAUCAACGCGUUUAAUCAUUGAUGUAAUACAAUCCUCGUGAGUAAGAAGUGCAAAAGCUAUGAGAACGAAAAGCGUUGGCACAUUAUCGUUCCUCAUCAUCUAUUUGUGCGUCACAAAACUACAAUUUCUCCGAUGAGGGCUAUGUACAAAUAUAUUUUCCACUCCAUUUAUAAAAUAAAUUGUUCGUUACAUAAAAA
Molecule: long non-coding RNA, 1157 nt
Organism: Bombus impatiens (common eastern bumble bee)
Lineage: Eukaryota; Metazoa; Arthropoda; Insecta; Hymenoptera; Apidae
Exons: 3
Source: RefSeq, a predicted model, not a curated record